This 460-nucleotide ribosomal RNA is filed under the name uncultured bacterium. RNAcentral describes it as "partial 16S ribosomal RNA". It matches the Rfam family "Bacterial small subunit ribosomal RNA", at positions 338 to 795 of the family's 1533-position model. The record is from RNAcentral.
CCUACGGGCGGCAGCAGUGAGGAAUAUUGGUCAAUGGACGAGAGUCUGAACCAGCCAAGUAGCGUGAAGGAUGACUGUCCUCUGGGUUGUAAACUUCUUUUAUCAAGGACUAAAACGACGCUCGUGUGCCUUUUUGCUUCUACUUUCUGCGUAAGGAUCGGCUAACUCCGUCCCAGCAGCCCCGGUAAUACGGGGGUUCCGAGUGUUAUCCGGAAUUUUUGGGUUUAAAGGGAGGGUUUGCCGGUCUUUACGCGUGCGUUGAAAUUUUGUGGGUCAACCAGGAGGGUGCGGUGAGAACUGGAGACCGUGAGUGCGCGGAAGGCAGGCGGAAUUCGUAGUGUAGCGGUGAAAUGCUUAGAUAUCACGAAGAACACCGAUGGCGAAGGCAGCCUGCCGCAGCGUUACUGACGCUGAAGCUCGAAAGCGCGGGUAUCGAACAGGAUUAGAUACCCUAGUAGUC